Non-coding RNA from Heterocephalus glaber (naked mole-rat), 1267 nucleotides. The record is from RefSeq and is a predicted model, not a curated record. Lineage: Eukaryota; Metazoa; Chordata; Mammalia; Rodentia; Bathyergidae.
GCGCGGGGUUUUAAAUCACACGCAAAUCACACAACUGGCUAGUAUUUAGCAAGUUUUGAAAGUUUAAACCUAAUUGUCUGGGCCUUGUGCGUUGAACUGUAAACGGCUGUUUAAGUCAUCGAAAAGAACAUCUGGGAUAUUGGGGUAUUGGGGUAACUAUUGAUUAGCUGUUGUAGGCCAUGGAGAAGAGCAUCUGGGACAUUGAGGCAGUUAUCGAUUAGCUGCCGUUAGGCUAGUUGUUAGGGGACUGUUGGACAUUAUCACAGAUGAAAGAGAGAAGAAAUCAGGUCCACUGAGCAUGUCUUUGGAACAAACUGUAUUAGGAGACAAAAGAAAGACAAGCCUUUAAAAGAAAUACAAGAGCAUCACUAAGGAGGCAAGAAGUACUAUUGCAGGUGUUGAAAAGAAAGCAGUAGACAAAGCACAGUCUGCCCUCAUGGAAUGUGUAUUUUCCUGGAAGGACAGAAGAGAACAGAAAGAAAUUAGUGAUGGCCUAUCACGCACCAGAUGCUCAACACUGAGGAGAAAAAGAAAGAGAGGCAUAAGAGCAGGGCAGACAAGAGAACCACCCAAACUCACACUGUCAGAAAGUUUCAGUGACAAAGACAAGAAGAAUGAAAACAGUGGACUGAAAACAUAAAAGUCAUGAUAGAACAAGAAAAAGAAAUAGCAGCUUCUCAUUGGAAAAGGAUAGUGGUGAAAAGAGGAGAACUAGAACAGUAGCUACUUGCCACAAAUUCCCUUCUUUCUAAAAUCUUUAAAGAUACUCCUCAAACCAUAUACAACCAACCCUGCCAGGAAGCUGCCUAUACACAAAAGCUCUAUCACAGAAAAUACGCCCUCCAAUUCUCUUACCUCCUUCCAUCCACAACAAUAAUAGGAAAGUGCCUAAUACAUUUACGUUAAUUAUAUGCUUCUUGAGGGGGCAAAGAUGAAUAAGUGAGAGUUCUCUGGCAAUUCUAUUACAACCUUGCUCUCUUAGCCCAGGCUUCAGCAAUAGGAGAUGUAGCCAACUUCUCAGAGGCCAAUUUGGUCCUCAAUACUCAUGAGUGUGUGAGUUCUCCAAAAUCCACCAUCGCCAUUACUAUGGCUACCAUCACCACCACUGUCACCACACAUCACCAACAAGACCAUCUCUGUCAUCACCAGAAUCACUACCACCACUGUCACAAGUACCAGCACUGCCACCACACAUGCCACCAUUGCUACUGCUGUUGCUACCACCACCACCAACAACCCCACUAUCUAAUUCAAAAUACAAAGUAUU